Molecule: ribosomal RNA, 372 nt
Filed under: uncultured organism
Description: bacterial SSU rRNA
Rfam family: Bacterial small subunit ribosomal RNA
Source: RNAcentral
CAGAGGGUGCAAGCGUUGUUCGGAAUUAUUGGGCGUAAAGCGCGUGUAGGCGGCUUAGCAAGUCGGGCGUGAAAGCCCUCGGCUCAACCGAGGAAGUGCACCCGAAACUGCUGAGCUUGAGUGCCGGAGAGGAUGGCGGAAUUCCCCAAGUAGAGGUGAAAUUCGUAGAUAUGGGGAGGAACACCGGUGGCGAAGGCGGCCAUCUGGACGGUAACUGACGCUGAGACGCGAAAGCGUGGGGAGCUAACAGGAUUAGAUACCCUGGUAGUCCACGCCGUAAACGAUGAGAACUAGAUGUCGCGGGUGUUGACCCCUGCGGUGUCGCAGCUAACGCAUUAAGUUCUCCGCCUGGGAAGUACGGUCGCAAGAUUA